GAUGAAGAACGCAGCGAAAUGCGAUAAGUAAUGUGAAUUGCAGAAUUCAGUGAAUCAUCGAAUCUUUGAACGCACAUUGCGCCCGCCAGUAUUCUGGCGGGCAUGCCUGUCUGAGCGUCAUUUCAACCCUCAUGCCCCUAGGGCGUGGUGUUGGGGAUCGGCCAAAGCCCGCGAGGGACGGCCGGCCCCUAAAUCUAGUGGCGGACCCGUCGUGGCCUCCUCUGCGAAGUAGUGAUAUUCCGCAUCGGAGAGCGACGAGCCCCUGCCGUUAAACCCCCAACUUUCCAAGGUUGACCUCAGAUCAGGUAGGAAUACCCGCUGAACUUAAGCAUAUCAAUAACCGGAGGA
RNAcentral lists this unclassified non-coding RNA (348 nucleotides) under soil metagenome. RNAcentral's name for it is "partial contains 5.8S ribosomal RNA, internal transcribed spacer 2, and large subunit ribosomal RNA". The stretch from base 1 to 120 matches the Rfam family "5.8S ribosomal RNA", at positions 35 to 154 of the family's 154-position model. The record is from RNAcentral.